Long non-coding RNA from Rhinichthys klamathensis goyatoka, 465 nucleotides. RefSeq lists it as uncharacterized. The transcript is spliced from 3 exons. NCBI's taxonomy places the organism in Eukaryota, Metazoa, Chordata, Actinopteri, Cypriniformes, Leuciscidae. The record is from RefSeq and is a predicted model, not a curated record.
GCCAUUGCUCUGGUCUCAUCUUUCAGGCUUCAAGGAACCAGACCUGGGAGAAGACAGAGUGUGCCGCCACUCCGGCCAUAUGGGUGGAUUCAGAGCAGGGGACACUUGAAAGGGGGCAAAAGGAGUUGCUCCCCCUCGACCCUUCUGUCACAGAUAGGCAUCAUGCUCUUCUGCUGAAUGCACACAAUGGGCUCUGUUGACAGACAGGUAUAUUUGUAAAUAAAACAGCUGAGAUGACAUUGUCUGAGAUGUGGAGAAACUCUUCCGGCCGGACCAACAUGAAGACAUGAUGCUGAAGCAGAAUGAAUCUCUCUCACUGACCUUGAUUUUUUUCAGUUGCACAACUAUUCUGAGUGUACGGUAACAUGCUUUUCAUUUAGAAUAUCUUACUGUAACCUUUUUGGCUUUUGCAGUUGGCUCCCUGUAUUUUCACAGUAUGCAAGUGCUGAAUAUACAGACAUUCAA